Long non-coding RNA from Oncorhynchus tshawytscha (Chinook salmon), 2690 nucleotides. NCBI's taxonomy places the organism in Eukaryota, Metazoa, Chordata, Actinopteri, Salmoniformes, Salmonidae. The record is from Ensembl.
ACGGUAUAUUGCGACAGUUGUGUGAAUAGGCUCCGCGGUUUUCUUAUUAAAUAUGUUCUGUCAGUGUCUCAUCUACUGACUACGUGGUGGUUAGUACAUUUGUAGAAAUCGAACCAAGGUGAAUUACAGGAGAAGGUGAUUUACUCAAUCCAACCAGGAGACUGGGUGUGGAUCCAGUCCCUGAGGAGAAAAGACUGGAAGCAGCCCCUUUGGGAAGGCCUAUACCAGGUUCUGUUAAACCACCGCCUUUGCCAUUAGAAUAGCUGAGGAAGUCACUUGGGUCCACGUUACCCACUGCAAAAGGGUAUGUACACAUACAAGCACUGCUGCUCACACACAGAGUUAGGAGAGGAACCGAGUACCAACAGGGUCCAGGGGUUACCUCCUUAACAAAGAUUCCCUAUCCCGACCGUUCAUCACUGUGUGUGCUCCUAGAGGUGGGAGUAUGGGGUGGUACCUAGUAGACCGACUAAGGGCAGGAGGGGGUUGGCGGUUUUUGGGAAGAGUAGGGACUCUGAGCUGCAUUAUCGUCUUGGUAAUCUUUCUGAUACAUCCAGAUCCACCACCUUCCGGUACUAAUUAUAUGAUGCCGCUGUCAUUGAUAAGAAGUAAAAGAUAAACUAUAUAAUACACUGAUGAGUGACUUACAGAAUAAGGAGUCAAAGAAGAUCAAGAUGUAAGAUUUAAGGUAAACAAUUCCCUAGGAAAUAACUUCACAGGGAUUGGGUUGGCCAGAUUGAAGUACUUGGCCAACCCACCUCGGUUCACUUUAACUCCUGAUGAGUACCAGUGUUAUAGAUACAAGAAUGGCACCGAGAACUUAGAUGAUUUUAAUGGCUGAAAGGUAAUCGUUGAUGUGACUGACUUAGGUUUGGAAGUACAGGAGACUAUUCUUAACCUCACAGCAGCUAUACCUGAUGUAGGGUGGGCUCGUACCAGCAAAGGACGCAUACGACAGAAACUACCAAAAAGGGUGGUUAGGAACUUGCGCCCCGGGGUUAUUGGUCCAACCAGUUCGGCUUAGUCAUCAGAGGCCAGUAUUAGGAGGCUAUAAAGUAGGCACAGGAGGAGUUUUGACCAGGAUGGGAGUAGCUUUGUCUAGAUGGAUGCUAUUGGCAUCCCCAGGGAAGUUCCAGAUGAACACAAACCUAUGAAUCAAAUAGGUGAAGGCUUUACCACUACAUUAUUUUGGUGGUUGACAAUAAAUAAAAAUGUGGAUUGGAUUAGUGACUAUAAUAGUGAUCUAUUAUAAUCAACAGAGAUUUGUGAAUGAUUCUGGGGAUGUAGUAAAGGGGUUCUCUGACCAAUUAUCCGCCACCUCCCUCAUGACCUGGUAAAAUAGACUGACUCGAUAUGUUAUUGGCAGAAAAGGGCGGGGUAUGUAGAAUGAUUGGGGUUCAUUGCUGUACGUUUAUAUACUUUUUAAUAAAACAGCUCCAGACGGAUCAGUGACCAAGGCCCUGGCAGGUUUGACCACAUUAGCUCAUGAGUUAGCAGAGAACUCUGGGGUGGAUACUUCCCUGACAGGGUGGUUCGAUAGCAUGUUUGGGAAAUGGAAAAAUAUUGUAAGUACUGUAUUUUGGGCUGCUUUCACAUGUAUGAGUGUGUUGGUGUUGUGUGGAUGCUGUUUGGUCCCAUGUGUGAGAGGUUUGAUCACCAGAACUCUAGAGAGAUCGAUGACCAACAGAUGGUGAGAUAUGGACCGAUUCCGAGCUCCAACCAGUGGGAUGACGAAUACAGGCCUCCAGGCCUAGGAGAUGGCUCCGUUUCUUUUAACCAUAAGGAGCCAUUGUUAGAUGAGACUAUCUUCAAUGUUUCGACAGACUGUUCCUUUAAUGAAGAUUGUAAUAAAAAUCACAAAAAGAAGGGUUAUAAUUGGAUAUAGGCCUAGAGCAGUCGAUGAUAAGUAUCUGAUGUAAAUACAUGAAUUGGUUUUGUUUGAUUUUAUGUAACAUUUUUGAUUCCAUAUGACGGUGGAUGUAUCAGUGUGUAUUAUUUAGUCAUUAAGGGUGGAUUGAUAAGGGAAUUAUAUGCUUAAUGGUAAUGUUUAAAAUAUUUCACCCUGAAACCAUAUAAUUGUAUGAAAUUUAUUAGAAUCAUAAAACUAUAAUCUGACGAUGUGUGUAGUUUUAGUCAGAAUUAGAACAAGGACCUUUUGAUCCUUUUUAAUAUGUAAGCAGGGUGCAAGUGGGAAACAAAUGACUAUCGACAGACAAGUUGUACUACUGUGUUCCUUAAAGGACAUUCUGUCUCUACCCGUGGAGGGGAGAAACUGUUAGGCUAGCAGAAACAUUAUGAAACAUGUUGCAGAUUAAAGAAACAAUGUAUCUGUGUAGUGGAAAAACACUGACUGUCUGAGCAAGGCGUAGUUUAAGAUUUGAACUUGUUUGUGUGUGUUAUAAAGACUGCAUUUUGGAUUUUAGAACGUUCUUGUGAAUGAACUGUGCUAACCUUUUGCAUAAGCUGAGUCUUUGCCUAAUUAUUAUUAAACCCAUGGUCUUACAAACCUUGGGAUUGGUCAAAGCUAUUGAUUGUUAGUUAUUAUCAUUGUGAUUGAAAAUUCUCAUGACAAUUACUAACUCCUUUCCAGAGGUUUAAGUCUGCUCUGCACAUGUCUGAAAGUGACAGAGACAGCAGCCAAGAGAGUAUUUCACAGUAUGUCAUAAAAAAGUAUUACACUUAUGAAUGUA